UGCGGGGAGCUACAAUGCAGUCGAACGAUGAAGCCCAGCUUGCUGGGCGGAUUAGUGGCGAACGGGUGAGUAACACGUGAGUAACCUGCCCUUGACUCUGGGAUAAGCCCGGGAAACUGGGUCUAAUACCGGAUAGGAGCGCCUGUCGCAUGACGGGUGCUGGAAAGAUCUUUCGGUCAUGGAUGGACUCGCGGCCUAUCAGCUUGUUGGUGAGGUAAUGGCUCACCAAGGCGACGACGGGUAGCCGGCCUGAGAGGGUGACCGGCCACACUGGGACUGAGACACGGCCCAGACUCCUACGGGAGGCAGCAGUGGGGAAUAUUGCACAAUGGGCGGAAGCCUGAUGCAGCGACGCCGCGUGAGGGAUGACGGCCUUCGGGUUGUAAACCUCUUUCAGUAGGGAAGAAGCGAAAGUGACGGUACCUGCAGAAGAAGCACCGGCUAACUACGUGCCAGCAGCCGCGGUAAUACGUAGGGUGCGAGCGUUAUCCGGAAUUAUUGGGCGUAAAGAGCUCGUAGGCGGUUUGUCGCGUCUGUCGUGAAAGUCCGGGGCUUAACCCCGGAUCUGCGGUGGGUACGGGCAGACUAGAGUGCAGUAGGGGAGACUGGAAUUCCUGGUGUAGCGGUGGAAUGCGCAGAUAUCAGGAGGAACACCGAUGGCGAAGGCAGGUCUCUGGGCUGUAACUGACGCUGAGGAGCGAAAGCAUGGGGAGCGAACAGGAUUAGAUACCCUGGUAGUCCAUGCCGUAAACGUUGGGCACUAGGUGUGGGGACCAUUCCACGGUUUCCGCGCCGCAGCUAACGCAUUAAGUGCCCCGCCUGGGGAGUACGGCCGCAAGGCUAAAACUCAAAGGAAUUGACGGGGGCCCGCACAAGCGGCGGAGCAUGCGGAUUAAUUCGAUGCAACGCGAAGAACCUUACCAAGGCUUGACAUGUUUUCGAUCGCCGUGGAGACACGGUUUCCCCUUUGGGGCGGAUUCACAGGUGGUGCAUGGUUGUCGUCAGCUCGUGUCGUGAGAUGUUGGGUUAAGUCCCGCAACGAGCGCAACCCUCGUUCCAUGUUGCCAGCACGUUGUGGUGGGGACUCAUGGGAGACUGCCGGGGUCAACUCGGAGGAAGGUGAGGACGACGUCAAAUCAUCAUGCCCCUUAUGUCUUGGGCUUCACGCAUGCUACAAUGGCCGGUACAAUGGGUUGCAAUACUGUGAGGUGGAGCUAAUCCCAAAAAGCCGGUCUCAGUUCGGAUUGGGGUCUGCAACUCGACCCCAUGAAGUCGGAGUCGCUAGUAAUCGCAGAUCAGCAACGCUGCGGUGAAUACGUUCCCGGGCCUUGUACACACCGCCCGUCAAGUCACGAAAGUCGGUAAUACCCGAAGCCGGUGGCCUAACCCU
This 1390-nucleotide ribosomal RNA is filed under the name Micrococcus flavus. RNAcentral's name for it is "bacterial SSU rRNA". It matches the Rfam family "Bacterial small subunit ribosomal RNA". The record is from RNAcentral. Lineage: Bacteria; Bacillati; Actinomycetota; Actinomycetes; Micrococcales; Micrococcaceae.